Long non-coding RNA from Saccostrea cuccullata (small rock oyster), 231 nucleotides. RefSeq lists it as uncharacterized. The record is from RefSeq and is a predicted model, not a curated record. NCBI's taxonomy places the organism in Eukaryota, Metazoa, Mollusca, Bivalvia, Ostreida, Ostreidae. The transcript has 3 exons.
GGAGGUCUAAAAAUAUAAUCCCUAUGAAGAUGACAGAAAUAUGUGGGAAAAAGCUCAUGAUUGCUUUGAAAUGUCAGUUCUACAGCAGAUUAUAUGGCUCAUUAUGUUGGCCUUUUCUAUUUCCUAUAUUUUUUACGGUAUUAAAUACAGCGGCCAGUGUUACUGGAGAAAGCUUAAUAAAGAUGGAGACAAGGAGGAAGAAGAUCUUACAAAGUUUAUACAAGCAGAGGG